Molecule: ribosomal RNA, 464 nt
Filed under: Durinskia baltica
Lineage: Eukaryota; Dinophyceae; Peridiniales; Kryptoperidiniaceae
Description: partial Bacterial large subunit ribosomal RNA
Rfam family: Bacterial large subunit ribosomal RNA
Source: RNAcentral
AGCGAGUCUGAAUAGGGCGUGCAGUACAGCGGGGCAGACGCGAAACCAAGUGAUCUAUCCAUGGUCAGGAUGAAGCGGUGGUAAGACACCGUGGAGGUCCGAACCGGUUGACGUUGAAAAGUCUUCGGAUGAACUGUGGAUAGGGGUGAAAGGCCAAUCAAACUUGGAGAUAGCUCGUACUCCCCGAAAUAUAUUUAGGUAUAGCGUUUGAUUUUGUCUGCCUGGAGGUAGAGCACUGAUUAGGCUAGGGCCCUUCACCGGGUACCAACCCUAGACAAACUCCGAAUACCAGCGCAGAGCCAUCAAGCAGUCAGUGGCAGGGUGAUAACGUCCUGUCGCGAGAGGGGAACAACCCAGACUACCAGCUAAGGUCCCUAAAUACCAACUAAGUUGAUCAAAGAAAGUUGAGUUGCCUAGACAACUAGGAGGUUGGCUUAGAAGCAGCCAUUCCUUUAAAGAGUGCG